This 426-nucleotide ribosomal RNA is filed under the name uncultured prokaryote. RNAcentral describes it as "bacterial SSU rRNA". It matches the Rfam family "Bacterial small subunit ribosomal RNA", at positions 355 to 774 of the family's 1533-position model. The record is from RNAcentral.
UCGAGAAUUUUUCUCAAUGGGGGAAACCCUGAAGGAGCGACGCCGCGUGGAGGAUGAAGGUUUUCGGAUUGUAACCUCCUGUCAUUAGGGAACAAUUGCAUGGAUUUAACUGAUCUGUGUUUGAUAGUACCUGAAGAGGAAGAGACGGCUAACUCUGUGCCAGCAGCCGCGGUAAUACAGAGGUCUCAAGCGUUGUUCGGAUUCAUUGGGCGUAAAGGGUGCGUAGGCGGUGAGGUAAGUUGGAUGUGAAAUCCCGGGGCUUAACCCCGGAACUGCAUUCAAUACUGUUUCACUAGAGUACUGGAGAGGAGAUUGGAAUUCACGGUGUAGCAGUGAAAUGCGUAGAUAUCGUGAGGAAGACCAGUGGCGAAGGCGAAUCUCUGGACAGUUACUGACGCUGAGGCACGAAGGCCAGGGGAGCAAACG